This 253-nucleotide ribosomal RNA is filed under the name uncultured bacterium. Its description in RNAcentral is "partial 16S ribosomal RNA". It matches the Rfam family "Bacterial small subunit ribosomal RNA", at positions 524 to 776 of the family's 1533-position model. The record is from RNAcentral.
UACGUAGGGUGCGAGCGUUGUCCGGAAUUAUUGGGCGUAAAGAGCUCGUAGGCGGCUUGUCACGUCGACUGUGAAAACCCGGGGCUCAACUCCGGGCCUGCAGUCGAUACGGGCUGGCUUGAAUCCGGGAGAGGGAUGCGGAAUUCCAGGUGUAGCGGUGAAAUGCGUAGAUAUCUGGAGGAACACCGGUGGCGAAGGCGGCAUCCUGGACCGGCAUUGACGCUGAGGCGCGAAAGCCAGGGGAGCAAACAGG